This is a long non-coding RNA of Megalops cyprinoides (Indo-Pacific tarpon), 1001 nucleotides long. RefSeq lists it as uncharacterized. The record is from RefSeq and is a predicted model, not a curated record. The transcript has 4 exons. NCBI's taxonomy places the organism in Eukaryota, Metazoa, Chordata, Actinopteri, Elopiformes, Megalopidae.
GCACAAAAAGGGAUAUUUUAAGACCUAGGAGUGUUGCGUGUUCCGAGGGGAUUAUUAAGACAGCGAUACAGCGGUAGGGUGUAAAAGGCAAACUGUCAGAGCAGAGAGCGGGAACAAUUGGUAUAGAAAGCAAAUGGAUUAAUGUCGCAGCAAAGAACGCUAACACACCGGACGACCUUAUCACUCUUGAGCAGAGACAUUUAUCACCUUCAUCCAUCUGAUCAACCUACUGCUUUGGUUCUCAAAGUGAAUUAUCUCUGGUCACUAUCAAAAGAAACUUGUGAAGGCGAUGUGUGAAGUGCAAAGGGUGGCCCAGAGGAACAGAAACCCAGGCAGAGAGCUCAUCUGUGGCUGAUUUCUGCCCUCUUUAGCUGAUUCCCUCCAAGAGAGACCAAAUCCAUCAACAACGUCGAAAGUCGCCUACUUCAAGAGGAAAUAUGCGGAAGAGGAGGAUGUACAAAGAGACUUUCAUGGGUAUUUUCAGAGACACCUGAUACUGUCGGAGGACCGCAGCUGCAUCCUCAAACUCUCCCUGGAGAAGCUCCGGUUCCUGGAGGAUCCGGAGGCCUACCUGAGGCGCUCCGUGCUCAUCAACAACCUGCUGCGCAAGAUCCACCAUGAGGAGAAGGAGACGGAGGAGGGCCAGGUGCCGUGCGACAGGGGCCCCGGCCAGAGGCUGCUCUACCCGGACAGAAAGAGGCUGAAGCUGGUGGUGGCGGAGUGCUGCUCCCAGACCUUCGGCUAUGAAGAGAUACAGCACUACCACGUCAUGCCCUAUAGCUCCGCCAGCUACCUUUACAGACUGGGGAGCUACCCCAGCAUCACACCUGACCACAACGCUCGGGUCCUCCUCUACAACCUGGACGAUAACGGGUGACCGAGUUUCUUACUAACUGUACUUGGAAGAAACAGACACACACCUACACACAUUCAAACAAUAUUUGGUCAGAGCUAGAGAAUGCUGUAGUGUGGGCUGCUUUAUUGAGUGCCUGUGCAGGCAG